GUGAGGAAUUUUCCGCAAUGGGCGAAAGCCUGACGGAGCAAUGCCGCGUGAAGGAUGAAGGCCUAUGGGUUGUAAACUUCUUUUCUCAGAAAAGAAUUAUGACGGUAUCUGAGGAAUAAGCAUCGGCUAACUCUGUGCCAGCAGCCGCGGUAAGACAGAGGAUGCAAGCGUCAUCCGGAAUGAUUGGGCGUAAAGCGUCUGUAGGUUGUUUAAAAAGUAUUCUGUCAAAGAUUAGUGCUUAACCCUAGAUAGGCAGAAUAAACUUUUAAGCUAGAGGUUGGUAGAGGAAGAGGGAAUUCACGGUGUAGCGGUGAAAUGCGUAGAUAUCGGGAGGAACACCAAAGGCGAAGGCACUCUGCUGGGCCAAUACUAACACUGAGAGACGAAAGCGAGGGGAGCAAAUGGGAUUAGAAACCCCAGUAGUCC
This 426-nucleotide ribosomal RNA is filed under the name uncultured bacterium. RNAcentral's name for it is "bacterial SSU rRNA". It matches the Rfam family "Bacterial small subunit ribosomal RNA", at positions 354 to 796 of the family's 1533-position model. The record is from RNAcentral.